RNAcentral lists this ribosomal RNA (2229 nucleotides) under Triticum aestivum (bread wheat). Its description in RNAcentral is "partial small subunit ribosomal RNA". Lineage: Eukaryota; Viridiplantae; Streptophyta; Magnoliopsida; Poales; Poaceae. The record is from RNAcentral.
AUGUCGUCCGUCCAGUGCUCCGCCUGCGGCUCCCGCACCCAUCGCAGGAACCACUGCGCCGCCUCGCCUUGCUCACGCUGCGGGGGAAACGGCCACUUCGAGGCCCUCUGCACCACCCCCUCCGGCUUCGACUCCGUCAGCGCCACCCGCUGCGGCGUCUGCGGUGGCGCCGGCCACGCCGACGAAGACUGCGCCACCACGGAGACUGCCGACAUCCGGUGCGAGACCUGCGGCAAGCUGGGGCACCGGCCCAGGGACUGCCCCACACGCACCGGACGCCGCGACGACCCAUACGUCGCGUUUAGGGGCUACGACGCCUGCCAAUUCUGCGGUGAGCCGGGGCACUUCGCGCCCGCCUGCCCCCAACGGCGCGGGCGCAAGCAGGGCCAGAUCGUCUCAUUAGAAACCCUAGCCGCCGCGCGUGGAUCAGUUUUUCUCACACGGGCAACUAGAUCAAUCGAGAGCUACUCUACCCGCCCAACCAUGUCUGCGCCACGGCGACAGUGGGCCGAGCUCCCGUCGAAGCUCCUCGCGGGCGUCUCCGGCCGAAUGCACGAUCCCACCGACUUUGUCCGCUUCCACACCGUCUGCACCUCGUGGCGGGACUCGCUGCCCGAGAGGACCGCGCUCCGCCCCGUCCUCUUCCCCUGGCUCGUUGCCCCGCCGUCAGGCCGCCGAUUCUCCGUCGUCAGGCCCCGCUGCGUCUUCUCCAAGACAAGCUACCACGCAGAGGUAUCCUCGAGCUUCUACAAGCUCGGGUGGGUGGCGCGAGCCGAUGGCACGGAUUACUGGUUCUUCAGCGCACGGGACGGGCCUAAGCUCAUCGACCCUCUCACCGGAGACACCACCCCUCUGCCGCCUUUCCCGUUCGGUGAUAAACGGAAGAUGGUUGAGAAGUCCCGUGUCAACCCGGCAAUUCGACCCAUGGGUGGCCGCGCCCAUGGGCACCCGACCCGAAUGGGUAGGGUAUGGGUCGGCAUAUUCACCCAUGGAGAAGCCAACCCCGUCCUUCUCGCGCAGCCACACCCACAACGCACAAACCUAGCCGUCCUUCAGUCUCGCUCUCGCCCUCUCCCAGUCCCAUCGGCAAACCGCCGCCGCCGCCCACUGUCCCACGCCGUCGUAGGCUGCCGGAUCCCCGCGGCCGCCCCCCUGCAGGCCGCCUCCAUCCUUGCUAGAUCUACGACCAAGCACCACCUCCGCCUCCAUCCUCGCUGGAUCCGCAGCCAAGCACCACCGCCACUCGACGCCGCCGUCUCAGUCCUCAUUCUCCCUCGAGCAGCAGGCUCACCACGCCGGAGCAGCAACGACGCCACCUCUGCAUCGAUCCCGUCCAACCGGAGCAGCACCGCCGCCAUCCUCGUUCUUCCUCCAAGGCUUCACCGCACCGGACCAGCACCGAAGCCAUCAUCGCGCCGGAGUAGCACCGAGGCCAUCACCGCGCCCUCCUUCUGUCUCACCAAGAUGAGUUCACCAGUGGAUAGUUUCUCGGCGCCGGGAGUGGAAAGCUCAGCUGUGCAUGGAACUCAACAUGACAAGUCAUCCACUCCACAAGCAACAGAGGUCGUUGAGAGAGGGUUCAGGCUGGGGAGGAACAACAUAGCGUUUGAAAACAAUCAUUGCUUUGCCGCAUACCAUGAUGGCAAGAUCUUAGCGUGCGUGGACGGGGACCAUUGCAAUGACAUUUGGCACCUCCUAGCACCCUCGGCAGGUGGCGUCCACACCAGUGUCGUUGAGAGUGAGGACAUGUGGGGUCUCGACUCUAGCCACGUCCUUGAGUCCCAUGGCAAGCUGCUGCGAGUGUCCAUCCUGAAGCACGGGGUUGUGGUUUUGGUGCAUGCGCUAGAAGAAGAGGUGGGCACACACAACAGACGAAUGGUGCGGUGGGCGAGGAAGGACAGCCUGAGCUUCGCUGACCGUGUCAUGUUUCUAGGGUUCCCAAGCAGCUUCGCAGUAGAUGCCGCGAGCUUCCAUGGCGUGGAGGACGACUUGAUCGGUGGAUGUGUUUACUUCUUUCAGCGGUGGUCCGGUCAGGCGACGCUCGGCGUGUUCAGGCACAACCUUAUCGACUGCAAAACCAAGUUCAUGGAGUAUCUGCCAUCCAAAUGGAGCGAUCGUAAAAACGACGCGGGUAUGUGGCUCAUGGCCCGACCUGCCAUUGCUCCAGUCCAGCGCAGAGGAACAGACAGAAACGACUUGGCCAGCCAUGGCGCCUCGGGCAAGGCUUAG